GUCCGAUUAAACUGCUGCUGAAUGUUUUGUCUUUGAAGGUAGCAACUGUAUUAGGGGCAGUACUAUGCAUUGACAGGUUAUAACUUUGAUAAUAUCAUUUUCCGAUCAUGUAUUAGUCAUUGAAUUUUUAAAUGAUUGAAAGCACUGAGGUUUUGUUUUACGUCAAGGCAUGUAUAACUUAAGAGAUUUUUUCCAGAUCUUUGAGAAUUUAGAUGCUCUCCAUUUAUUCAUCUUUUAGAUGUAUUUUUGGCAUAUUUU
This 258-nucleotide long non-coding RNA is filed under the name Mytilus galloprovincialis (Mediterranean mussel). The record is from RNAcentral. Lineage: Eukaryota; Metazoa; Mollusca; Bivalvia; Mytilida; Mytilidae.